AGGGCAUACGGUGGAUGCCUAGGCGCCAAGAGCCGAAGAAGGACGCGGUAAGCUGCGAAAAGCCACGGGGAACUGCAAGCAAGUAUUGAUCCGUGGAUAUCCGAAUGGGGAAACCCGGCCAUCGUCAUGGAUGGUCACCCGCAAGGGAGGGAACCUGGGGAACUGAAACAUCUAAGUACCCGGAGGAAGAGAAAUCAAACGAGAUGCCCACAGUAGCGGCGAGCGAAGAGGGCAGAGCCCAAACCGAGAAGCUCCGGCUUUUCGGGGUUGAGGACCGGCAGAAUCGAAGUCAGGCCUAGUCGAAUUACCUGGAAAGGUAAGCGAGAGAGGGUAAAAGCCCCGUAGACGAAAGGCAGAGCAGAGAGGCCGAGAUCCAGAGUACCACGAAGCACGAGGAAUUUUGUGGGAAGCAGGGGGGACCACCCUCCAAGGCUAAAAACUACUUGGCGACCGAUAGCGCAUAGUACCGUGAGGGAAAGGUGAAAAGAACCCCGGGAGGGGAGUGAAAUAGUACCUGAAACCUUGUGCUUACAAGCAGUUACAGCCCGUUAAAGGGUGGUAGCGUACUUUUUGUAGAACGGUCCGGCGAGUUAUAGUCACUAGCGAGCUUAAGACAUUCAGUGUCGGAGGCGUAGGGAAACCGAGUCUGAAGAGGGCGUAUGAAGUUAGUGGCCAUAGACCCGAAACCAUGUGACCUAGCCAUGAGCAGGAUGAAGUGGAGGUAAAGCUCCAUGGAGGUCCGAACGCACGUUCGUUGCAAUGACCGGCGAUGACUUGUGGCUAGCGGUGAAAUUCCAAUCGAACUUGGAGAUAGCUGGUUCUCCCCGAAAUAGCUUUAGGGCUAGCGUUGAUUUAGAUUACCGGAGGUAAAGCACUGAAUGAGCUAGGGGGCGAUAAGCUUACUGAACUCUAUCAAACUCAGAAUGCCGGCUAAUUGAUGAUCAGCAGUCAGACAGUGUGAGAUAAGUUUCAUUGUCAAAAGGGAAACAGCCCAGACCUACAGCUAAGGUCCCAAAGUAUAGUUAAGUGGAAAAGGAUGUGGAAUUGCAUAGACAACCAGGAUGUUGGCUUAGAAGCAGCCACUCAUUAAAAGAGUGCGUAAUAGCUCACUGGUCGAGUGAUUCUGCGCCGAAAAUUUAACGGGGCUAAACUAUACACCGAAGCUUAGGAUACCGCAAGGUAUGGUAGGAGAGCGUUCUGUACGGAGUGAAGUCGUAGCGAAAGCGGCGGUGGACUGUACAGAAGUGAGAAUGCCGGAAUAAGUAGCGAGAAUUAAGUGAGAAUCUUAAUGGCCGAAAGUCUAAGGUUUUUGGAGGAAGGUUCGUCCGCUCCAAGUAAGUCGGGAGCUAAGGUCAGGCCGAAAGGCGUAGCCGAUGCACAAACGGUUGAUAUUCCGUUACCGUCUACAAUUUAAACAAGGGGACACAUACAAAGCGUUUAACCCGGGCGAUGGUUGACCCGGGCGCAAGGGACUGAAAUAAGAGUAGGGAAGUAAAUGUGGCGUAUGGCGAGAAAAGCUUUGUGAAUAGAAGUAGACGCCCGUACCGCAAACCGACACAGGUGGACAGGAAGAGAAUUCUAAGGCCAGCGGGAGAAGGGUAGUUAAGGAACUCGGCAAAUUGACUCCGUAACUUCGGAAUAAGGAGUGCUCGAAAGAGCCGCAGAGAAUAGGCCCAGGCGACUGUUUAGCAAAAACACAGGUCUCUGCCAAAUCGAAAGAUGAAGUAUAGGGGCUGACACCUGCCCGGUGCCGGAAGGUUAAGAGGAGGAGUGCAAGCUCCGAAUUGAAGCCCCGGUAAACGGCGGCCGUAACUAUAACGGUCCUAAGGUAGCGAAAUUCCUUGUCGGGUAAGUUCCGACCCGCACGAAAGGCGUAACGAUUUGGGCACUGUCUCAACGAGGGACCCGGUGAAAUUGAAAUACCUGUGAAGAUGCAGGUUACCCGCGACUGGACAGAAAGACCCCAUGGAGCUUUACUGUAACCUGACAUUGGGUUUUGAUACAUUACGUACAGGAUAGGUGGGAGGCUUGGAAAGUUGGACGCUAGUCUGACUGGAGCCGACGUUGGGAUACCACCCUUGAUGUAUUGAAAUUCUAACCGCGAGAGUAACGAAAUCCGGGACAGUGUCAGGCGGGCAGUUUGACUGGGGCGGUCGCCUCCGAAAGAGUAACGGAGGCGCCCAAAGGUUCCCUCAGCGCGGCCGGAAAUCGCGCGAAGAGUGUAAAGGCAGAAGGGAGCUUGACUGCGAGUCAAACACGACGAGCAGGUACGAAAGUAGGGCUUAGUGAUCCGGUGGUACCGAGUGGAAGGGCCAUCGCUCAACGGAUAAAAGCUACCCUGGGGAUAACAGGCUAAUCUCUCCCAAGAGUCCAUAUCGACGGGGAGGUUUGGCACCUCGAUGUCGGCUCAUCACAUCCUGGGGCUGAAGUCGGUCCCAAGGGUUGGGCUGUUCGCCCAUUAAAGUGGUACGUGAGCUGGGUUCAGAACGUCGUGAGACAGUUCGGUCCCUAUCCAUCGCGGGCGCAAGAGAUUUGAAGGGGGCUGCUCCUAGUACGAGAGGACCGGAGUGGACGAACCGCUGGUGUACCAAUUAUCCCGCCAGGGGUACAGUUGGGUAGCUACGUUCGGAAAGGAUAAACGCUGAAAGCAUCUAAGCGUGAAACCAGCCUUAAGAUGAGAUCUCUCAUAGAGCAAUCUAGU
This 2701-nucleotide ribosomal RNA is filed under the name human metagenome. Its description in RNAcentral is "bacterial LSU rRNA". It matches the Rfam family "Bacterial large subunit ribosomal RNA". The record is from RNAcentral.